RNAcentral lists this non-coding RNA (45 nucleotides) under Trichobilharzia regenti. Lineage: Eukaryota; Metazoa; Platyhelminthes; Trematoda; Strigeidida; Schistosomatidae. The record is from RNAcentral.
AUCCAGAUGAGGAGGCCAAAAUAGGAUGAAAUGUGCAUCCUGGAU